This 821-nucleotide ribosomal RNA is filed under the name uncultured organism. Its description in RNAcentral is "bacterial SSU rRNA". It matches the Rfam family "Bacterial small subunit ribosomal RNA", at positions 310 to 1122 of the family's 1533-position model. The record is from RNAcentral.
ACACUGGAACUGAAACACGGUCCAGACUCCCACGGGAGGCUGCAGUGGAGAAUUUUGCGCAAUGGGCGAAAGCCUGACGCAGCGACGCCGCGUGAGGGAUGAAGGUCUUCGGAUCGUAAACCUCUGUCAAGAAGGAGUAAACGUGCGCAUACGAAUAAUAUGUGCAUCUGACAUUACUUCUAGAGGAAGUCCCGGCUAAUUACGUGCCAGCAGCCGCGGUAAUACGUAGGGGGCAAGCAUUACUCGGAAUUACUGGGUGUAAAGCGAGCGUAGGCGGUUUGGUAAGUUAGUGGUGAAAGUCCCCGGCUUAACCGGGGGAUUGCCAUUAAAACUGCCAGACUAGAGGACAAGAGAGGAAAGUGGAAUUCCUAGUGUAGCGGUGGAAUGCGUAGAGAUUAGGAAGAACACCGGAAGCGAAGGCGGCUUUCUGGAUUGGUCCUGACGCUGAGGUUCGAAAGCUAGGGUAGCGAACAGGAUUAGAUACCCUGGUAGUCCUAGCCGUAAACGAUGGAUACUAGACUUUGCAUUUGCCGGGUCGUCGUUAACGCGUUAAAGUAUCCCACCUGGGUAGUACGAUUUCACAAGGUUGAAACUCAAAGGAAUUGACGGGGACUCGCACAAGCAGUGGAGCAUGUGGUUUAAUUCGAUGCAACCCGAAAAACCUUACCUGGGCUUGAACUUUGGGCAUUAGCCCCCUGAAAGGGUGGGUGAUCCGACUCUGUCGGAACCCAGAGAGGUGCUGCAUGGCUGUCGUCAGUUCGUGUCGUGAGAUGUUGGGUUAAGUCCCGCAACGAACAAAACCCUUGUUCUUAGUUGUCAGC